AUGGAAGGGCAGUACCAAAGGCACAUCCACAUGCCGAUCAAUCCCUUGAGCAGCAAAAAGAAGAGAAGUUUAAGGGGUGGCAGAUUUCACUUACAGAAUAUAGAUGCAAGGCUCCUUAGGUCACUUUAUCCCGCGAGAUAUAAAUCCUUAAGAGGCUGCCACAUUGAUAUCUGCCAUGCUGCUACCCUUGUUGGUAGCAUGGUCCAAGGAGCAAGCGGUGACGAACAAGUGCAGGUCCAACCGUAUUCACGUACUGUGGUGGACUCCAUGUACAGAAAUAUCUUGAAGGGUAGCCCAGCUGCAGCAGUGACGGUAUGGGACUGCCCUAAGAUACCCCUGCCACGCCUAAUGUGGAGGUUUCUCCCAGUGACAUGUAUCAUAAAGGUGAUCAUGCACGGGCAGGGGAACACACUUUUGGAGGAUGCGAAUACCAGUGCCUUAUUAUUGCCUGAUUUUAUAUGCAACGGGGUUUCAUCGUUGCAUGUGUAUGAUAACCCUUCCAUCACCAGUGUCCUUGCACCUCCCCAAAGAUCAGAAUGGAUCCGUCUAAUAUGGUGCCGAGUGGAGAGGUGCCCCAAGUUACACGCGGUCUUCACUAUUCCCAUGGCCGGCCAAGGUAUGUUGUCUGAUAAUGUUUCCACAGGCUUCCAGAGUCUGGAGACAUUCUGGGCGUCCCAGCUCCUGACAGCACGCUAUAUCCGGGACUGGGACUGGACAAUGGCCACAACGCACAUUAAACACUCUGGUAACUUUGAAAGUCUGGUAUUCUUGCACCUAGAUUACUGCCCCAGGCUCAUACGUGUGCUCGUCUUGGCCACACCUUCGGUCACCUUGGGUGCACUGGAGACCCUCGAGAUAGUGCAAUGUGGUGAUCUCAGAGAGGUAUUCCCAUUGGGACCCGAGCUUCAAGAGCAGGAUAAAAUUAUAGAAUUUCCCAAGCUGAAGUACAUCCACCUGUGUGAGCUCCCCAAGCUGCAGAGCAUCUGUGGGUGUAGGAUGUCUUCCCCUAACCUCGAGGCCAUCAACAUCAGGGGCUGCUGGAGCCUUAGGCGUCUGCCGACUGUCGGAGACAACACCAAGGCCCCCAAGGUGUACUGCGAGAAGGAAUGGUGGGACAACCUGGAGUGGGGCGGCGUGGAGAACCACCACCCUUCCCACUACGAGUCAAGUCACCCGUUGUACUACAAGGCUCAGCUGCCGAGACGCAGUGUACUC
This 1215-nucleotide ribosomal RNA is filed under the name Triticum aestivum (bread wheat). Its description in RNAcentral is "partial small subunit ribosomal RNA". The record is from RNAcentral. Lineage: Eukaryota; Viridiplantae; Streptophyta; Magnoliopsida; Poales; Poaceae.